RNAcentral lists this ribosomal RNA (467 nucleotides) under uncultured bacterium. Its description in RNAcentral is "partial 16S ribosomal RNA". It matches the Rfam family "Bacterial small subunit ribosomal RNA", at positions 28 to 507 of the family's 1533-position model. The record is from RNAcentral.
GAUGAACGCUGGCGGCGUGCUUAACACAUGCAAGUCGAACGGAAAGGCUCCUGCUUGCCGGGGUACUCGAGUGGCGAACGGGUGAGUAACACGUGGGUGAUCUGCCCUGCACUUCGGGAUAAGCCUGGGAAACUGGGUCUAAUACCGGAUAGGACCACAUUUUGGAUGGUGUGGUGGAAAGUUUUUCGGUGUGGGAUGAGCUCGCGGCCUAUCAGCUUGUUGGUGGGGUAAUGGCCUACCAAGGCGUCGACGGGUAGCCGGCCUGGGAGGGUGUACGGCCACAUUGGGACUGAGAUACGGCCCAGACUCCUACGGGAGGCAGCAGUGGGGAAUAUUGCACAAUGGGCGCAAGCCUGAGGCAGCGACGCCGCGUGGGGGAUGACGGCCUUCGGGUUGUAAACUCCUUUCGCUAGGGACGAAGCGUUUUUGUGACGGUACCUGGAGAAGAAGCACCGGCUAACUACGUG